Molecule: small nucleolar RNA, 84 nt
Filed under: Entamoeba histolytica HM-1:IMSS
Lineage: Eukaryota; Evosea; Mastigamoebida; Endamoebidae
Description: Entamoeba histolytica snoRNA snoMe18S-Gm1358
Source: RNAcentral
UAAUGUAAUGAUGAGAUUUUACCAUGCACCACUCAGAAUUAUCUACCCAAAGAUAAGUUGUGUUGAUUAUGGUGUCUGAACAUU